UGCUCAAUGGUGUAAUGGUAGCACUACGGUUUUUGGUGCCGUCUGUGUAGGUUCGAAUCCUGCUUGAGCAA
This 71-nucleotide transfer RNA is filed under the name Bacteroidales bacterium. RNAcentral's name for it is "tRNA-Gln". It matches the Rfam family "tRNA". Rfam says of the family: Transfer RNA (tRNA) molecules are approximately 80 nucleotides in length. Their secondary structure includes four short double-helical elements and three loops (D, anti-codon, and T loops). Lineage: Bacteria; Pseudomonadati; Bacteroidota; Bacteroidia; Bacteroidales. The record is from RNAcentral.